Molecule: long non-coding RNA, 223 nt
Filed under: Capsicum annuum
Lineage: Eukaryota; Viridiplantae; Streptophyta; Magnoliopsida; Solanales; Solanaceae
Description: long non-coding RNA (CANN_LNC005383)
Source: RNAcentral
AAAUCAACCACCCAGAUUCAGGAAAUUUACAGAACUACCCCUACACACAAAUCCUCCGCUUCUACUUCUUUCCCCUUCUUGUGGUAGUAGCCUUCUUCGCUGGUGACUUCACGGCCUUCGCAGGUGUCUUCUUAGCCGGCUCCUUCUUGGCUGGUGUAGCCUUUGGUGCAGCUUUCCGGCUUGGAGUGGUUCUGGUAGCCGUUUUUGCAACCUUGGCUGGCUU